RNAcentral lists this ribosomal RNA (466 nucleotides) under uncultured bacterium. RNAcentral's name for it is "partial 16S ribosomal RNA". It matches the Rfam family "Bacterial small subunit ribosomal RNA", at positions 28 to 507 of the family's 1533-position model. The record is from RNAcentral.
GAUGAACGCUGGCGGCGUGCUUAACACAUGCAAGUCGAACGGAAAGGCUCCUGCUUGCAGGGGUACUCGAGUGGCGAACGGGUGAGUAACAAGUGGGUGAUCUGCCCUGCACUUCGGGAUAAGCCUGGGAAACUGGGUCUAAUACCGGAUAGGACGAUGGUUUGGAUGCCAUUGUGGAAAGUUUUUCGGUGGGGGAUGAGCUCGCGGCCUAUCAGCUUGUUGGUGGGGUAAUGGCCUACCAAGGCGUCGACGGGUAGCCGGCCUGAGAGGGUGUACGGCCACAUUGGGACUGCGAUACGGCCCAGACGCCUACGGGAGGCAGCAGUGGGGAAUAUUGCACAAUGGGCGCAAGCCUGAUGCAGCGACGCCGCGUGGGGGAUGACGGCCUUCGGGUUGUAAACUCCUUUCGCUAGGGACGAAGCGUUUUGUGACGGUACCUGGAGAAGAAGCACCGGCUAACUACGUG